UAAGGAAUAUUGGUCAAUGGACGCAAGUCUGAACCAGCCAUGCCGCGUGAAGGAUGAAGGUCCUCUGGAUUGUAAACUUCUUUUAUCUGGGACGAAAACGGGAUUUUUAUCUCAAUUGACGGUACCAGAGGAAUAAGCACCGGCUAACUCCGUGCCAGCAGCCGCGGUAAUACGGAGGGUGCGAGCGUUAUCCGGAUUUACUGGGUUUAAAGGGAGCGUAGGUGGGCUUAUAAGUCAGUGGUGAAAUCUCCGAGCUUAACUUGGAAACUGCCUUUGAUACGAUAGGUCUUGAAUUAUCUGGAGNUAAGCGGAAUAUGUCAUGUAGCGGUGAAAUGCUUAGAUAUGACACAGAACACCAAUUGCGAAGGCAGCUUACUACAUAUAAAUUGACGCUGAGGCACGAAAGCG
RNAcentral lists this ribosomal RNA (408 nucleotides) under uncultured bacterium. RNAcentral's name for it is "bacterial SSU rRNA". It matches the Rfam family "Bacterial small subunit ribosomal RNA", at positions 355 to 761 of the family's 1533-position model. The record is from RNAcentral.